This 293-nucleotide long non-coding RNA is filed under the name Elaeis guineensis (African oil palm). Its description in RNAcentral is "long non-coding RNA (EGUI_LNC062362)". Lineage: Eukaryota; Viridiplantae; Streptophyta; Magnoliopsida; Arecales; Arecaceae. The record is from RNAcentral.
GUUGGAAACUGAAGAUGAGGAUGUCGUCAUUCCUUUGGCUGCCCAUUUGAAUCUCGUCCAGAUGAUGUUCGAUCUUUCGAACCUUUUGCUCGAGGUCCUCUUCCCGACAAAAUUUUAUGAGGCACAGAGAGUAGCCCAAGGUCGAAUCUCCAUUGGAGGAGAUCAGAGAAUGUUGGUAUUAUUCUUCAUGCAUGGACCCUGAUGGGACAGUGAUUGUCAAUCGAUCAGCGCAGAACAACACGCACCUCGAAGAAGAUUCUCUAGAAGCAGUUUUGCUGGCUACAUGGAGAGGG